RNAcentral lists this ribosomal RNA (491 nucleotides) under uncultured bacterium. Its description in RNAcentral is "partial 16S ribosomal RNA". It matches the Rfam family "Bacterial small subunit ribosomal RNA", at positions 29 to 507 of the family's 1533-position model. The record is from RNAcentral.
AUUGAACGCUGGCGGCAUGCUUUACACAUGCAAGUCGAACGGUAACAGGCCUUCGGGUGCUGACGAGUGGCGAACGGGUGAGUAAUGCAUCGGAACGUACCCAGAGGUGGGGGAUAACGCAGCGAAAGCUGUGCUAAUACCGCAUGUGAUCUGAGGAUGAAAGCGGGGGACCGAGCAGCAAUGUUUGGCCUCGCGCCUUUGGAGCGGCCGAUGUCGGAUUAGCUAGUUGGUGGGGUAAGGCCUACCAAGGCGACGAUCCGUAGCUGGUCUGAGAGGACGACCAGCCACACCGGGACUGAGACACGGCCCAGACUCCUACGGGAGGCAGCAGUGGGGAAUUUUGGACAAUGGGCGCAAGCCUGAUCCAGCAAUGCCGCGUGCGGGAAGAAGGCCUUCGGGUUGUAAACCGCUUUUGGCAGGAACGAAACGGUGUCCGCUAAUACCGGGCGCUAAUGACGGUACCUGCAGAAUAAGCACCGGCUAACUACGUG